GUGGUGGUGGUGUUGGUGCUCCAAGUUGUGGAGAAGCUGCAGGUGCCAUGGCCACAAGCCUGCACCCUUAGAACCUAUAGAAAAAAAUUGAAAGAACUCUCUACCUUGUCUAUUAUAGUAGAGAUCCUUAAGGAGACUGAAGUUGAGAUAAUAGUGAAUAGCUUCAGAAAAAAUUACGAGCAUUUUAGGAGCUUUGCCAGAGAUUCUGUGUGGCAGUGGAAGAAGUUCUUGUGCAAUGAAACAGUAAACCUGAUGAACUGGACUUGAAGAAGAGCAACUCCAGAAAGUGCCACAGGAUUGCUCUUUAGAAGGAGGAGGAAAUGAAAACUGAAAAGCCUCCAGUCAGACAGCUGAGACCACAGACAGAAAAAACACAGAACACUCUCAGAGAUUAAGCAUCUCCAAAGCUUCUCAAAGUCAGAAGAAGAGAAAUGAAAGAAUGCGGUUUCACCAACCUUCACCAGCUUAUCUUCAGACCAGGAAUCUUCUGAUUAUGGCCGUGUUCGGACCCCAUCAUCUAUCAGUCCUCAACCGCUGUCUGUGGACUAUUAGAGAUUCCUGGAGGAGGACCCAUUGUUCUACACCAGAAACCUGGAAAAGGCCACACUAAUGCCCUUUAGGACAGAUCAAGGGUCAGCCAAGAAGGGGCUGUGGGUCAAAGCAAGAAGCAAAACCUUUCCAUAAGAAAAAGUACUUCAUUGAGUGCAAGACUGAUGAGAAGUUCUGCUUUGAUCAGUGAGAAAUCACAUGGGCCCUCUCCAAAGAUGAAAACCAAAGGCCACCCUCAGAAGAUGACACAAAAUAGAAAUGACCCUAUAGUGUCCCUUGUCUAGAAAGAGAAAGAAAGAGAGAACAGCAGCAUCAAGACGGUUUUACCCCUCUUGGAGAUUGCUUGGAUAGAUAGCCAGUGAGACUCCUACGUGAAUUUGAGGAAGCAGAUAUGGAUGAUGAAUUUGAGCAGCCCACCGUGUGUAUCUCAGCCAUCACUAGUCUUAGAAGAAAAAUAAAAAUACCAUGAAAAAUUCAGACACUAUACUUAGAAAAAAAAGUUGAAAGAAUGAUUCUAAAACCACGAGUAAAAUUUGGAUCAGUUCAGAAAUUACCUAAGGUAAACAAAAAUAAGUCAGAGAAGCUGCAGCAGUUUGAAGCUCAUCCAGCCAAGCUGAAAAGGGUCCCCAUACCAGUAUCGCCUGACGUUCCAUUUCUCAGGACACAGGCUGAUUGCCAUUCACCUCCAUCCGUCUCCUUGACUCAUGUCCUCCUUCCAACCAAAGUGAAAAAGCACUCUCUUCACCCUGGGAAGAAGAAGAAGCUGGAUCUACUCUACACAGAAUUAAUUCUAACCUUCAGGCAUGUUCGGGUUCUAAAUAUCCCACUCCUCCAAAAUUAUUAGCAUGCACCAGCCUUGCGUCCAAAUACUUAAAAGCAUCAAUUCAAUCUUUGAAGUGGAAUGAAUCUCCUAUUUUGUUCUAAAACACAUUUUAAAAAGAUGUAUGCCUCAUCAGUUAUAUCACCUACAGAAGUACAAUCUUGUACCAGUUGAAGAAACAGAUCAAUUAAUAAAAAUUCAGUCAUCAAAACUUUAAAAUUCCAUGAAAGGCUGGAAGAUCAUGAGUUAUCAGGAAAUGUACUUGUGUUUCAGGAUGCCUGAGAGCAGAAGCUGUGAAUGCUGAUAUGAAUAGAUAUUCAUCUCCACAUGCCAGUUAGCCCAAGGGCUGACAAGCAAAAAUUGACUCUGUCAACUCUGUGGCUAAACCACCUUACCAUGUUUGAAGGGGGCAAGAGAAGUUUGGGACAGGAGGAGCAGCUGGUCAGCAAAAGUAGAUUUUUGUGAUAUAUAAUCAAGUAUCAGGCUGGAAAAAGCCAAUGUAUGUUACCACUUGCAAGUGAUAAGCCAUAUCACACAGGAAGCAGUCACACUUCCUCCAACAGCAUCAGAAGCAGCAGUAGUUUUAUCCUCAUGCCUCAGAGACUGGUCUGUGCCUUCCUGAGCAUCAGCAGUACCCACUUGGUGAAGGCAGUCAGCAGCAUGUGAAAGAAGAUUGCCCUGAUGAUGGCUAAGACAAUUCAUGAUUUCAAGAACAGAUUCUCCCCA
RNAcentral lists this long non-coding RNA (2095 nucleotides) under Homo sapiens (human). Its description in RNAcentral is "non-protein coding lnc-CNTNAP5-8:1". The record is from RNAcentral. Lineage: Eukaryota; Metazoa; Chordata; Mammalia; Primates; Hominidae.